UCUGCCUUUAGAGCGGCCCGCGNCUGAUUAGCUAGUCUGGUGAGGUAAAGGCNCACCAAGGCUGACGAUCAGUAGCNUGGUCUGAGAGGAUGAUCAGCCACAUUGGGACUGAGACACGGCCCAAACUCCUACGGGAGGCAGCAGUGGGGAAUCUUGCGCAAUGGGCGAAAGCCUGACGCAGCCAUGCCGCGUGAAUGAUGAAGGUCUUAGGAUUGUAAAAUUCUUUCACCGGGGACGAUAAUGACGGUACCCGGAGAAGAAGCCCCGGCUAACUUCGUGCCAGCAGCCGCGGUAAUACGAAGGGGGCUAGCGUUGCUCGGAAUUCUUGGGCGUAAAGGGAGCGUANGCGGACAUUUAAGUCAGGGGUGAAAUCCCGGGGCUCAACCUCGGAAUUGCCUUUGAUACUGGGUGUCUUGAG
Molecule: ribosomal RNA, 418 nt
Filed under: Brevundimonas sp. D11
Lineage: Bacteria; Pseudomonadati; Pseudomonadota; Alphaproteobacteria; Caulobacterales; Caulobacteraceae
Description: bacterial SSU rRNA
Rfam family: Bacterial small subunit ribosomal RNA
Source: RNAcentral